Molecule: ribosomal RNA, 502 nt
Filed under: uncultured bacterium
Lineage: Bacteria
Description: bacterial SSU rRNA
Rfam family: Bacterial small subunit ribosomal RNA
Source: RNAcentral
AGAGUUGAUCAUGGCUCAGGACGAACGCUGGCGGCGUGCUUAACACAUGCAAGUCGAGCGGUAAGGCCCUCGGGGUACACGAGCGGCGAACGGGUGAGUAACACGUGGGUGACCUGCCCUCCACUCUGGGAUAAGCCUGGGAAACCGGGUCUAAUACCGGAUAGGACUCCUGGAUGCAUGUCUGGGGGUGGAAAGUUUUUUCGGUGGGGGAUGGGCCCGCGGUCUAUCAGCUUGUUGGUGGGGUGAUGGCCUACCAAGGCGACGACGGAUAGCCGGCCUGAGAGGUGAUCGGCCACACUGGGACUGAGACACGGCCCAGACUCCUACGGGAGGCAGCAGUGGGGAAUCUUGCGCAAUGGGCGGAAGCCUGACGCAGCAACGCCGCCGUGGGGGAUGACGGCCUUCGGGUUGUAAACCUCUUUCGCGAUCGACGAAGGUCCACUUUCUGUGGGCUGACGGUAGGUCGAGAAGAAGCACCGGCCAACUACGUGCCAGCAGCAGC